Molecule: ribosomal RNA, 407 nt
Filed under: uncultured bacterium
Lineage: Bacteria
Description: partial 16S ribosomal RNA
Rfam family: Bacterial small subunit ribosomal RNA
Source: RNAcentral
AUUGAACGCUGGCGGCAGGCCUAACACAUGCAAGUCGAGCGGAGCGGCGGACGGGUUAGUAAUGCCUAGGGAUCUGCCUGGUAGUGGGGGAUAACGUCCGGAACCGGGCACUAAUGCCGCAUACUAUCAGAUCAGCCUAGGUCGGAUUAGCUAGUUGGUGGGGUAAAGGCCUACCAAGGCGACGAUCCGUAACUGGUCUGAGAGGAUGAUACGUCACACUGGAACUGAGACACGGUCCAGACUCCUACGGGAGGCAGCAGUGGGGAAUAUUGGACAAUGGGCGAAAGCCUGAUCCAGCCAUGCCGCGUGAGUGAUGACGGCUUUCGGGUUGUAAAGCUCUGUUAAUCGGGACGCGGUACCGGAAUAGAAAGCCACGGCUAACUACGUGCCAGCAGCCGCGGUAAUUC